UGAAGGCGGUGACCGCAAGGAGCUGCCUAGGGUAAAACUAGUAACUAGGGCUAAGUCGUAACAAGGUAGCCGUACCGGAAGGUGCGGCUGGAACACCUCCUUU
RNAcentral lists this ribosomal RNA (103 nucleotides) under Vibrio vulnificus. Its description in RNAcentral is "partial 16S ribosomal RNA". It matches the Rfam family "Bacterial small subunit ribosomal RNA", at positions 1422 to 1533 of the family's 1533-position model. Lineage: Bacteria; Pseudomonadati; Pseudomonadota; Gammaproteobacteria; Vibrionales; Vibrionaceae. The record is from RNAcentral.